UCCGUUAAUUUAUCUUGUAAUCAUUUAUUGCCGAAGCUUAACACUAAUUGAUAAUUUGAGAAUACUGUUUGAAGAGUUCCAACGUUUAUUGUAGGAUAAGAUUCUUGUAAUAAAACAAGAACGGUUGAGAUUAAACUUUUCAUGGCAUGUUGCAAAUGUCGGGUAUGAUAUCGUGCACAUAUAAGUGCAUCGAUAGAAAUAUCUGAAAAUUUAUAAUUCUUCGUAUCAUGAUGUCAGAGUAGAAUCUGUAAUUCAAUCGAAUAUUGUAGAAAUUAUUAACUGUCAUACAGCGCAUGCUGAUCUUCGGUCGUCCCGAUAACGAUCGUUAUCGUGAUGAAUCAUAAAAUAUGAAAAGAAACUUUAACGCCACCCUGUGUUGCAUCGUAGAACUCAAUGAUGUACUGUCGAUAAAGUUGUUCAUUUUUUAUUCCCAAUUAAAGAUAAAUGUAGAUUUCGGCACUUCGUACAUCUAAAUAAGAUGAAGAAUGAGAGUUGUUAUUUAAGAAUUUCCUAAGUAAAAUAAACUUUUAAGUUAAUGAUAGUAGAUAUAACAUGUCAGCAAUAUGAAAUCUAGCAUUAUAUUUAUAAAUAGCAAACAGGAACUGAACAACAGAAAUUUAAAAUG
RNAcentral lists this long non-coding RNA (625 nucleotides) under Polistes fuscatus (common paper wasp). RNAcentral's name for it is "uncharacterized LOC122522550". Lineage: Eukaryota; Metazoa; Arthropoda; Insecta; Hymenoptera; Vespidae. The record is from RNAcentral.